RNAcentral lists this ribosomal RNA (253 nucleotides) under uncultured bacterium. RNAcentral describes it as "partial 16S ribosomal RNA". It matches the Rfam family "Bacterial small subunit ribosomal RNA", at positions 524 to 776 of the family's 1533-position model. The record is from RNAcentral.
UACGAAGGGGGCUAGCGUUGCUCGGAAUUACUGGGCGUAAAGCGCACGUAGGCGGUCUUUUAAGUCGGGGGUGAAAUCCUGGAGCUCAACUCCAGAACUGCCUUCGAUACUGGAAGACUUGAGUCCGGGAGAGGUGAGUGGAACUGCGAGUGUAGAGGUGAAAUUCGUAGAGAUCGGGAGGAACACCAGUGGCGAAGGCGGCUACCUGGACCAGCACUGACACUGAAGCACGAAAGCGUGGGGAGCAAACAGG